RNAcentral lists this transfer RNA (92 nucleotides) under Actinomycetota bacterium. RNAcentral describes it as "tRNA-Sec". It matches the Rfam family "Selenocysteine transfer RNA". The record is from RNAcentral. Lineage: Bacteria; Bacillati; Actinomycetota.
GGAGCGGCAGGGGCUGGUGCCCCAUCCGGUCUUCAAAACCGGCACGCGGCCGCAGCCCGGUCGUAGGUAGGUUCGAUUCCUGCGCCGCUCCG